UUGGGUCUUCUGGGCACCCGUGAUCAUAGGUCUCGCAUUCGCGAAGAUCAUUUUGGAAAAACAAAUACUCUUCAAGAAGCGGUCGGGGUCCCGUGCCAAGGCUUACCAUCGCACUGCGGUUGGCUGAAGAAUGCCAGUACCCCAAACCGGGGCAGCCGGUAUUGAAUCUACGCCUCUAGGCCACAGGGAUGUGUAUCCAGCUGGGUGAGUAUAUUGUUAAUUAGUACUCCCAGGAGUAUUACGAUGUGCCCUUUAUGUUUUUUAUGAAAUGCAUUUCAAGUAAAUACAGAACGGAAUUUUCUUGCUUUUGCUUGGAGGGACAAUGGAAUAGUAUUACACAAUAUAUUUACGAAAGCGGAAUUUAUUUGUCCAGUUCUCACAUGAUGUACUAAGCACUUGAGGUUAUCAUUCAUAAAUUGGUUGAAAUCCUGGAACACAAAUUCGAACUUAGUUACCAAGGGUAAUAUUGGACUCCUUGUGAGUAAGCUCACAUUUAAAAGAUAAUUAUCUUGUCUAGUAGAAAUCUGAAAACUGUGC
This is a non-coding RNA of Dermacentor andersoni, 537 nucleotides long. NCBI's taxonomy places the organism in Eukaryota, Metazoa, Arthropoda, Arachnida, Ixodida, Ixodidae. The record is from RefSeq and is a predicted model, not a curated record.